This 397-nucleotide long non-coding RNA is filed under the name Zonotrichia albicollis (white-throated sparrow). RNAcentral describes it as "lncRNA (ENSZALG00000004948.1)". Lineage: Eukaryota; Metazoa; Chordata; Aves; Passeriformes; Passerellidae. The record is from RNAcentral.
AAUCAAGCAAGAAACUAUCCGUGACCCUGGGAGGAAAACUGCCAAGGAAACCGAGGGAUGGGUGCUUUGGGUGGGGAGUGAGUACAGCCAUGCUCACACCAGCAGCAGCAGCAGAUUCUGCAUUAUAUUGGCUGAUUUGCUUUCCAGCAAACGGGGCUUUUGCUGCUUUCCUGCUUGUGGAUUUCCCUAGAAGGGAAGUGAAUUCAUCGAAGGAAGAAGCCAGAGUGCUCCAGUCCUGCUGCUAGACCUGUCUGCAAGCUGUGGCAUCUCGGGUACAGGAGUGUGAAGAACGACUGGAGCGUUAAAUAAGGACGUGGAUAAGUGUGGCAAUUCCCUGCUGACUGCCAGAACAGCCUGCAGAGCAGAGACUGAGGCCAGCCUCUCUUCCCCUCCAAGU